RNAcentral lists this non-coding RNA (99 nucleotides) under human gut metagenome. RNAcentral describes it as "THF riboswitch". It matches the Rfam family "THF (Tetrahydrofolate) riboswitch aptamer". Rfam says of the family: THF riboswitch presents a pseudoknot that joins P1-P2 and the loop of P3 and two THF binding. The record is from RNAcentral.
GCAGAGUAGGUUUUGAUGCGUUAAGUGACAGACGGACGGGAAGUUGCCUCUGUACGAAAAGCACUGUGUGCUUGCGGUAUCAUAACCGCAUUCCGCUGC